Small nuclear RNA from Erinaceus europaeus (western European hedgehog), 158 nucleotides. Its record names the gene U1. It matches the Rfam family "U1 spliceosomal RNA". Rfam says of the family: U1 is a small nuclear RNA (snRNA) component of the spliceosome (involved in pre-mRNA splicing). The record is from Ensembl. Lineage: Eukaryota; Metazoa; Chordata; Mammalia; Eulipotyphla; Erinaceidae.
AGACUUACCUGACAGAGGAGAUACCAUGAUUACUAAGGUUGUUUUCCUGGGGGAGGUUUAUCUUAUCCAUUGCACUCCGGAUGUUCUGCAAUUUCCCCAAAUGUGGGAAACUCAACUGCAUAAUUUGUGGUAGUGGAGAACUGUGUUCGAGAUCUCCC